Aethalodelphis obliquidens (Pacific white-sided dolphin) is the source of this 2705-nucleotide long non-coding RNA. RefSeq lists it as uncharacterized. The record is from RefSeq and is a predicted model, not a curated record. The transcript has 3 exons. NCBI's taxonomy places the organism in Eukaryota, Metazoa, Chordata, Mammalia, Artiodactyla, Delphinidae.
UUCCAGGACAAGGGUUUCCGCCGGACCCACAGGUGCCCAGUUGGAGACUGCACCCUCCCAGCAGCCCUUGCAGCCAGGUCUGCCAUGGGACUAAGUUCUUGUUAAGGAAGGUCAAGUGGAACUGAUCCAUGCCAGUGCUGGGUCUGGUCUUACAACACCUGUGCGUUUUUCCCUUUUUGUGAACUCAGAAGGUGCCUGUGACUCAGCUUCCACCACGCAGACCACGUCCUAGGUCACGUGGGUGAGACGAUGGAGGGACAGGCUCCCUGAGUGACCGCGUGGAGGAGAGCAGCCCUGGGGUCUGAAGCACUCCCUUCCUCUGGGGCGCUGAAGUGGAAGACAAGUAAGUGUCUAUACUCUUUAAGCCACUGUUUUGGGGCCUCUGUGUUGGAGUAACUUAGCCUUUGCUAAACGGAAAAAAGCAGGUUUCAAAACAGUACGCAGUACGAUCUGCUUUUUACAAAAAAUGUGCAUGCACCAACACGUCCACAGGAAGGUCUGGAAAGGUAUACACCGAAGCGCUCUGGUCAUUGUCUCUCGCUAGUGGGAAUGACGGGUAUUAUCUUCUUUGCUUGUCCACAUUACCUAAUUUUCUAUAAAAGAAACACAUGUAUUCCUUCUGGAAUUAAGAAAGCGAGGCUGCGAUCGAGAUGACGGCCAAGAACUAGACAAGGCUGGGGGACCCAUGAUGCAGACGAAGUGCACUGGUGGCAGGACCCACCUGUUCAGUUAGCACCGAGCCACCGCUCCCACCGUCCCCAAGGACAGCCAGUGUGCAGCUGGAAUUUCAAACUUCAUUAGCACAGAGACAGGCUGAAGCUGUUCUUGAGUAACUAAUCAUCUAAAAGCUACCAAGACGAUGCUCUACCUGGGAUGUGCCUGUGAACCUGAAGACCAACUGGAGGACAGGUUUGUCCACGAACGCCUUGCACAGGCCCAUCUCUGAGGCACAUAUGGUGUGCCCUUGAAUGAGCUCUGGCUGCGGUAGACCAGCCCUGCCAGCUGCACCCCAAGAAGCAGGUGGAGCGGAAUUGGCCCACCCUUCCCUGUCGAAGGCAGGACAGUGGAAGCCCCACCGCUCAACUUCGGCACGCCAGUGGGGAUGCAGACGCUGCGAGGCACCGAUGAGCAAGGUGGGUCGUCAGAUUUUGUCCUCUGUCUGCAGACCCGACGGCCCCAAGACGCCUCCCAUCGAGUCGGCGGGGGUUCGGGACCUUGUGAGAAUCCUGGCGGCUGAAGUCGCCAUCCCUUCUCCUCCUCCCAGCUCGGGUGACCUUAAAAGGCUCUCGAUAUAGCAUCAGGCCCACACUCUGACACUCUAAAUGCGAUGGAGAGCUUGCACAUUAACACUGAAAGAUCAUCAUUUUGUGCCUGCAGCUUUCCGUCAGGAGUGUGAAGUGUAAAAACAUCACUCGAUACCAAAAGGCCAAUUCCCGAUUUAGUGCGGGAAAAAAAAUCUGGACAACCUUUUACGGCCCUCCUCAUUCCAUUCUGUCAGUUCCUAACGGGCGCCCUGCUGAUUAACAGGAACCUGGCCGGCAGAAAGUACGGGGUAGGUGCAUCGCUGCUUAUCCUGGCAGGGAAGCGUCUGUAAGACAGAGGUUUCCAAGCUCGGGCCGAGUGCUUCUCAGGCAAUUCUUGACACAACACACUCGGCAGAGCAGGGACUGGUUAGUCCCUUUGCUUCUGGGGAGGCAGCUUUGCUGUUGAGUAGCCAUGGAGCUCGACGACGCGGGCAGCGGGAUACCCAGGCCUUCCAGGCCUCGAGCACACAACAGAGAGAACAGUACGAACCCACCUGGGAGUAAAGCAGACAACAUAUGGAAAGCGCCUGGCACAGAGGAGAUGCUGAGCUGUCAGGGUGGUAAUUAAGUCACUAAAAUACCUCGUCGUCCUGGCUGGGGCUCACCCGUGCACAGUCUCAGGAAUGGGGGCCUGGCACACCCGUUGAUGGUCAUGCUCCUUUCUGUAAGGGGUACCAGAGGAUGGUUCCAGACCCAGUGGCUAUGCCCACAGCAGCAUUAGGUCCCAGCUUCCCCCCAAUCCACAUCGUGGAACUGAUCCCAACCCACCUCCAGCCUCUACUUUUGCCCAUCUCAGGUCAACAUGUUCUCUAGAUUUGAACGGUUGACACACAAAGCCAGGCUCUCUCAUGGGUGUCUGUUAGGCACCGGGUGUUCGGGGAUCUGGUGAACAAGCUUCUCACCCUCCGGCCCCUCUCUCACCUUUCCAGAGCCCAACCCCCUCCCUUUCAGCUUCCCCCACUUAGCACUGAAGAAGGAGAAGGUCAAAGGGGGGAACGCCCUAAAGGUUGAUAGCCUGACCCUUAUAUUUUUUCCCCUUUUAAUGAGGGAAAGUUAAAAAAAAAAAAUAGAAGAGUAGCACGCAUCACCCACCUAUCCAAUGUCCAGCCUCAGUCAUUAUCUGCUCGUGGCCAAUCAUGUUUCGUCUACAAGCCCUCCGCCCCCUCCUACUCUCCUGCCUUGCCAUCACUGGGCCAUCAGCCGGGCGUCUUGCGGGAGAGGGGACGAGGUCUCAUAGAGGACGAGCGACUUGUCUGAGUGCUACAGCUGAGAGUAGGCGGCCAGAGUUGAGGCCCUGGCCCAGGCACGCCCUUCGCACUUUUUGCUGUUGCUACACUACCUGUGCUCUCCUUUAUUUGUUUAUUUUUUAUUGAAGUAUAGUUCAUUUACGAUGCUGUGUUA